This 107-nucleotide small RNA is filed under the name Marmota monax (woodchuck). The record is from RNAcentral. Lineage: Eukaryota; Metazoa; Chordata; Mammalia; Rodentia; Sciuridae.
GCCAGGCAUGGUGGCUCACACCUGUAAUCCUAGCUGCUUGAGAGGCUGAGGCAGGAGGAUUGCAAGUUUGAAGCCAACCUGGGCAACUUAGCAAGAUCCUAUCUCAU